This 252-nucleotide long non-coding RNA is filed under the name Nicotiana benthamiana. RNAcentral's name for it is "long non-coding RNA (NBEN_LNC031689)". The record is from RNAcentral. Lineage: Eukaryota; Viridiplantae; Streptophyta; Magnoliopsida; Solanales; Solanaceae.
GUAGGGGAGUUCACACCGGGACUUUCUUAAUAGAGAAAGAACCCAUACCCUGAACCGGGGAAAGGCGAUAACGACCCAGGAAAUGGUGAAGUACGUGAAUCGACUCCCUCUUCGAGUCCAGACCUUUUAACAUAAAAUAAAGAAUAAGGGACUGACUUCUUUCUUGACAAGGAUCCUGAAUAAAUCGCACAUGCUCCAAGGACUUCACGGAAUUAGGAGGCACACAGGUGGGUAUACCAAGAGAAAUGCGGG